GACGAACGCUGGCGGCGUGCUUAACACAUGCAAGUCGAACGGUAAGGCCCUUCGGGGUACACGAGUGGCGAACGGGUGAGUAACACGUGGGUGAUCUGCCCUGCACUUCGGGAUAAGCCUGGGAAACUGGGUCUAAUACCGGAUAGGACCACUGCCUGCAUGGGUGGUGGUGGAAAGCUUUUGCGGUGUGGGAUGGGCCCGCGGCCUAUCGGCUUGUUGGUGAGGUGAUGGCCUACCAAGGCGACGACGGGUGGCCGGCCUGAGAGGGGGACCGGCCACACUGGGACUGAGAUACGGCCCAGACUCCUACGGGAGGCAGCAGUGGGGAAUAUUGCACAAUGGGCGCAAGCCUGAUGCAGCGACGCCGCGUGAGGGAUGACGGCCUUCGGGUUGUAAACCUCUUUCAGCACCGACGAAGCGCAAGUGACGGUAGGUGCAGAAGAAGGACCGGCCAACUACGUGCCAGCCGCCGCAGUAA
RNAcentral lists this ribosomal RNA (478 nucleotides) under uncultured bacterium. RNAcentral's name for it is "partial 16S ribosomal RNA". It matches the Rfam family "Bacterial small subunit ribosomal RNA", at positions 28 to 523 of the family's 1533-position model. The record is from RNAcentral.